GAGUUUGAUCCUGGCUCAGAUUGAACGCUGGCGGCGUGGCUAAAACAUGCAAGUCGCGGGAGAACUCGCCUUCGGGCGGGGGACACCGGCGGAAGGGUGAGUAAUGCAUUCGAACGUACCCCAAGGUGGGAGAUAGGUCGGGGAAACCCGGCGUAAUACCCCAUGUGCUCUUCGGAGAAAAGCUUCGGCGCCUUGGGAGCGGCGAAUGUCCUAUCAGGUAGUUGGUGGGGUAACGGCCUACCAAGCCAUAGACGGGUAGCGGGUGUGAGAGCAUGACCCGCCACAUCGGGACUGAGACACUGCCCGGACUCCUACGGGAGGCUGCAGUAACGAAUAUUCCGCAAUGCACGAAAGUGUGACGGAGCGACGCCGCGUGUGGGAUGAAGCGGCUCUGCCGUGUAAACCACUGUCAGGAGCUACUAAGAACUGAAGAGCUCCAGAGGAAGGGCCGGCUAAUCUCGUGCCAGCAGCCGCGGUAAGACGAGAGGCCCAAGCGUUAAUCGGAAUCACUGGGCUUAAAGGGUGCGCAGGCGGACCCGUGUGUGUGCCGUGAAAUCCCUCAGCUCAACUGAGGAAUUGCGGUGCAAACUGCGGGUCUUGAGGCAGGUA
RNAcentral lists this ribosomal RNA (609 nucleotides) under uncultured Phycisphaeraceae bacterium. Its description in RNAcentral is "bacterial SSU rRNA". It matches the Rfam family "Bacterial small subunit ribosomal RNA", at positions 9 to 653 of the family's 1533-position model. Lineage: Bacteria; Pseudomonadati; Planctomycetota; Phycisphaerae; Phycisphaerales; Phycisphaeraceae. The record is from RNAcentral.